This 492-nucleotide ribosomal RNA is filed under the name uncultured bacterium. Its description in RNAcentral is "partial 16S ribosomal RNA". It matches the Rfam family "Bacterial small subunit ribosomal RNA", at positions 29 to 507 of the family's 1533-position model. The record is from RNAcentral.
AUUGAACGCUGGCGGCAUGCUUUACACAUGCAAGUCGAACGGUAACAGGCCUUCGGGUGCUGACGAGUGGCGAACGGGUGAGUAAUGCAUCGGAACGUACCCAGAGGUGGGGGAUAACGCAGCGAAAGCUGUGCUAAUACCGCAUGUGAUCUGAGGAUGAAAGCGGGGGACCGAGCAGCAAUGUUUGGCCUCGCGCCUUUGGAGCGGCCGAUGUCGGAUUAGCUAGUUGGUGGGGUAAAGGCCUACCAAGGCGACGAUCCGUAGCUGGUCUGAGAGGACGAGCAGCCACACUGGGAAUGAGACACGGCCCAGACUCCUACGGGAGGCAGCGGUGGGGAAUUGUGGACAAUGGGCGCAAGCCUGAUCCAGCAAUGCCGCGUGCGGGAAGAAGGCCUUCGGGUUGUAAACCGCUUUUGGCAGGAACGAAACGGUGUCCGCUAAUACCGGGCGCUAAUGACGGUACCUUCAGAAUAAGCACCGGCUAACUACGUG